RNAcentral lists this ribosomal RNA (402 nucleotides) under uncultured bacterium. RNAcentral describes it as "partial 16S ribosomal RNA". It matches the Rfam family "Bacterial small subunit ribosomal RNA", at positions 30 to 526 of the family's 1533-position model. The record is from RNAcentral.
AUUGAACGCUGGCGGCAGGCCUAACACAUGCAAGUUGAACGAGUGGCGGACGGGUGAGUAAUGUCUGGGAAACUGCCUGAUGGAGGGGGAUAACUCCUGGAAAAGGUAGCUAAUACCGCAUACCAUCAGAUGUGCCCAGAUGGGAUUAGCUUGUUGGUGGGGUAACGGCUCACCAAGGAGACGAUCCCUAGCUGGUCUGAGAGGAUGCUAAGCCACAAUGGGACUGAGACACGGCCCAUACUCCGACGGGAGGCAGCAGUGGGGAAUUGUACACAAUGGGGGAAAGCCUGACGUAGCGACACAGCGUGAGCGAAGAAGACCUUUGGGGUGUAAAGAUCUGUCAACAGGCGGUACCUGUGGAGGAAGCAUCGGCUAACUACGUGCCAGCAGCCGCGGUAAUUC